CCGGUAGCUCAGUCGGUAGAGCAGAGGAUUGAAAAUCCUUGUGUCGGCGGUUCGAUUCCGUCCCAGG
RNAcentral lists this transfer RNA (67 nucleotides) under Delftia acidovorans. It matches the Rfam family "tRNA", at positions 6 to 65 of the family's 71-position model. From Rfam's summary of the family: Transfer RNA (tRNA) molecules are approximately 80 nucleotides in length. Their secondary structure includes four short double-helical elements and three loops (D, anti-codon, and T loops). Further hydrogen bonds mediate the characteristic L-shaped molecular structure. tRNAs have two regions of fundamental functional importance: the anti-codon, which is responsible for specific mRNA codon recognition, and the 3' end, to which the tRNAs corresponding amino acid is attached (by aminoacyl-tRNA synthetases). tRNAs cope with the degeneracy of the genetic code in two manners: having more than one tRNA (with a specific anti-codon) for a particular amino acid; and 'wobble' base-pairing, i.e. permitting non-standard base-pairing at the 3rd anti-codon position. The record is from RNAcentral. Lineage: Bacteria; Pseudomonadati; Pseudomonadota; Betaproteobacteria; Burkholderiales; Comamonadaceae. RNAcentral also lists the same sequence under 7 other names.